RNAcentral lists this ribosomal RNA (259 nucleotides) under uncultured bacterium. Its description in RNAcentral is "partial 16S ribosomal RNA". It matches the Rfam family "Bacterial small subunit ribosomal RNA", at positions 1234 to 1500 of the family's 1533-position model. The record is from RNAcentral.
CGGGUACAACGAGUCGCAAACUCGCGAGAGUAAGCUAAUCUCUUAAAGCCGUUCUCAGUUCGGAUCGGAGUCUGCAACCCGACUCCGUGAAGCUGGAUUCGCUAGUAAUCGCGCAUCAGCCAUGGCGCGGUGAAUACGUUCCCGGGCCUUGUACACACCGCCCGUCAAGCCAUGGAAGCCGGGGGCGCUUGAAGUGCGUUGCCGCAAGGCGCGCCCUAGAGCGAAACCGGUGACUGGGGCUAAGUCGUAACAAGGUAGC